RNAcentral lists this ribosomal RNA (242 nucleotides) under uncultured bacterium. RNAcentral describes it as "partial 16S ribosomal RNA". It matches the Rfam family "Bacterial small subunit ribosomal RNA", at positions 92 to 334 of the family's 1533-position model. The record is from RNAcentral.
CGACCGGCGCACGGGUGAGUAACGCGUAUCCAACCUGCCCGCCACUUGGGGAUAACCUUGCGAAAGUAAGACUAAUACCCAAUGAUAUCUCUAGAAGACAUCUGAAAGAGAUUAAAGAUUUAUCGGUGAUGGAUGGGGAUGCGUCUGAUUAGCUUGUUGGCGGGGUAACGGCCCACCAAGGCAACGAUCAGUAGGGGUUCUGAGAGGAAGGUCCCCCACAUUGGAACUGAGACACGGUCCAA